Molecule: long non-coding RNA, 561 nt
Filed under: Vulpes vulpes (red fox)
Lineage: Eukaryota; Metazoa; Chordata; Mammalia; Carnivora; Canidae
Description: lncRNA (ENSVVUG00000017749.1)
Source: RNAcentral
GAAGUUGAAACGUAGAAGCUGACAGGAAAAACCAGGAGAUGGCAGUGAACUGAAAGUCUAGAUUGAAAAAAAAAAAAAAAAGAAAAAGAAAAAAGGAAGGAGGUAGGAAAGAAGGAUGAAAAGAGGAAGGAAAGAAGAAGGAAGGAAGGAAAGAGCUAAGAAGGAAGGAAGAGGGAAAGAGGUAGGAAAGAAGGAGGGAGGGGAAAAAGGAAAAAGAAAAGAAUUUCCAGGAGUCAGUGACAAUGAAGUUAAUGCUUCAAGGAAGGACUAACCGUAUAAAAUACUGCUGAUUAUUCAGGAUUUCUCCCAGAAGAGGCAGAGAGAAAGAAAGACAGCAAAGGGAGCUGUCGGGCCUCAAGGGCAAUGGAUGGAGUAGAUGAGGGCGGCCUUAAGCCCCAGUUAACCUCUUGCACACCUAACAUUCUGAGCACCUACUCCCAGAAGACCACCACAGCAUCUGCUUCCAGAAAACAGACACUCAUGCUGAGUGUUGGUGACUGGAUAUGGAUACAGAUCCACAGAAUAUGGCAUCCUUCCAUGUGCUCAGCCCUCAGAUCUACA